RNAcentral lists this long non-coding RNA (440 nucleotides) under Theobroma cacao (cacao). RNAcentral describes it as "long non-coding RNA (TCAC_LNC005653)". The record is from RNAcentral. Lineage: Eukaryota; Viridiplantae; Streptophyta; Magnoliopsida; Malvales; Malvaceae.
AUGCUUUAAUUGUGGGAAAGAUGAACACAACCAGUUAGAAAGCUACCAAAAUGAAAAAGGAAAAGAAAAAAGUAGAAAAGGAGAUGGCUAGUGAAGUUCUCUAGUUAUUAAUUUGGAGUACCCUUGGAGACUAAAAUACACAAGGAAAGGUUGUUUCUUUUCUUUUUCUUUUUUCCUCUAAUUUUCUAAUAUAUGCAUGCCAAUCUACUUGAACCGUAAUUUCCUUUUUUUUUUUAAAUUUUCAUAUGGCAAUUUUGGCUAAAUUGACUUCAUUUCUGAUUGUUAUCAGGCUUGGCUUUUCUCUUUAUCUUCAUCAAUGCUACCAUGGGUUCCUUCUUCUAGAUCUUCUAGUUCAUCCUCUUCCUCCUCCUCCUCCUCAAAUCCCUCCUCUUCCAAGAUUUCAUCUUCUGGCUGCACAAAGUGCAGCUUCAAGCGCCCAU